AUGAUGCUCUGGAGUGACAAUGGCUGUGCCAUGCGACCCUUCAGCAAGGCCUUCGCAGACCUCCUGACGGCUGAACUGAGGAAGAACCAGACGCCAGAGGCAGAGGAUGCAGGCCCGAGGAUGAGCACGGGCCUGAGACCCACUGGAGGUUCCCCGGGGAGCUUCCCAGCUGGGGCCUCAAGCAGAAGAGGAAAGAAAGAAGGAAAAUCCCUAAAAUGUUUUUCCACAUCCCAUUUUCUGGAAAAUCCAUCACGAGUGGCAGCUGCUGGGAACCGCCCGUGGUGCCUGAGAAAGCAGGGCAGCGGGCGGGAGGGGCCGGCCACUCAGCCAGCACCCACCCCCGCGCAUCAGGACAUCGCUGUCUCUGGCCUCCUGGCUGUGGCUCCCGGCCGUCCCCGGUGCAUGAGGUCCUCCAGCCAGCUCUGCCUGGCCCAGCAGGCCCCGCACGUGGAAGGCCCCACCAUCACGGUCACACGGUCAUGGGUGCUGGCCACGUGCUCCCUGCACUUUCCUCCUCCCACCCCCCUGACGCUCACCUGGGCCUGGCCUGGCCCAAGGGGCCCAGAAAAUAUCAGCAGGCUCUCGGGGAUCCUGCUCGGCCAAGGUCCCAGGCCCCAAGGGCAGAACCAGGCCGAGCCCCAGCCCCGCAGCCCACCCCAGGCUGUGGGAGCAUCUGCGUGGGGCAGGCCACGGGCAACGGUGUCCACUGGGAGAGACGCGGAGGCAGAGGGGACAUGGAGGGGGAGCUCUGGGGGUCACCAGAAGGGGGACAUGGACAGCACGGUCCCACAGCCCCAAGGUCCUCAACAGCCACUUGUCCACAUUUGUUCUGGCUGCCAAUGUUCGGGGGGAAUGCCAAGGAGGCCCCGGGCCAGCCUCCCUGCCCCCACCCACCCAGGUUUCCUCUGCAACCCCCAGGUGACAUCAUCACAGUCUGACACCCUGCCCCCAUGCUGGGGUUCCUCACAUCCUGCAACCACCAGGGAGAGACGCAGCAGGCCCAGGGAGCUGCCGAAGAGCCCAGCAGGGCUACAGCAGCAGGGGCUGGCCAAGCAGCGAGUGGCCGGCCCCUACCGGGAGGAGGGCCAGCAGCCUGGCCGGACUGCACCCCUCAGAGGUCCUGGGCCAAGCAGGGUCCACCCUCUGGCCAGCUAG
This 1155-nucleotide long non-coding RNA is filed under the name Canis lupus familiaris (dog). Its description in RNAcentral is "lncRNA (ENSCAFG00030000451.1)". Lineage: Eukaryota; Metazoa; Chordata; Mammalia; Carnivora; Canidae. The record is from RNAcentral.